AGUGAACGCUGGCGGCAUGCCUAACACAUGCAAGUCGAACGGCAUCUUCGGUGUUAGUGCCUGGCGGGUGGUUAAGAACUGGGAACGUGCCUUUAGGUACUGAAUCACUCAUGGAGACUUGUGCUAAGACCGCAUGUGUCCUUCGGGGGAAGGUUUUAUCGCCUUAACAGCGGCCCGCGUCUGAUUAGCUAGUUGGUGAGGUAAAGGCUCACCAAGGCGACGCUCAGUAGCUGGUCUGAGAGGAUGAGCAGCCACAUUGGGACUGAGACACGGCCCAAACUCCUACGGGAGGCAGCAGUGGGGAAUCUUGCGCAAUGGGGGAAAGCCUGACGCAGCCAUGCCGCGUGAAUGAUGAAGUUCUUAGGAAUGUAAAAUUCUUUCACCCGGGACGAUAAUGACGGUACCCGAAGAAGAAGCCCCGGCUAACUACGUG
This 433-nucleotide ribosomal RNA is filed under the name uncultured bacterium. RNAcentral describes it as "partial 16S ribosomal RNA". It matches the Rfam family "Bacterial small subunit ribosomal RNA", at positions 29 to 507 of the family's 1533-position model. The record is from RNAcentral.